This 497-nucleotide ribosomal RNA is filed under the name uncultured bacterium. Its description in RNAcentral is "partial 16S ribosomal RNA". It matches the Rfam family "Bacterial small subunit ribosomal RNA", at positions 28 to 507 of the family's 1533-position model. The record is from RNAcentral.
GAUGAACGCUGGCGGCGUGCCUAAUACAUGCAAGUCGAGCGAACGGACGAGAAGCUUGCUUCUCUGAUGUUAGCGGCGGACGGGUGAGUAACACGUGGAUAACCUACCUAUAAGACUGGGAUAACUUCGGGAAACCGGAGCUAAUACCGGAUAAUAUUUUGAACCGCAUGGUUCAAAAGUGAAAGACGGUCUUGCUGUCACUUAUAGAUGGAUCCGCGCUGCAUUAGCUAGUUGGUAAGGUAACGGCUUACCAAGGCAACGAUGCAUAGCCGACCUGAGAGGGUGAUCGGCCACACUGGAACUGAGACACGGUCCAGGAUGCUACAGGGGACAGCGGUAGGGAAUGUUCCGCAAUGGGCGAAAGCAUAACGGAGCAACGACGCGUGAGUGAUGAAGGUCUUCGAAUCGUAAAACUCUGUUAUUAGGGAAGAACAUAUGUGUAAGUAACUGUGCACAUCUUGACGGUACCUAAUCAGAAAGCGACGGCUAGCUACGUG